CCUACGGGGCGCUGCAGUGAGGAAUAUUGGUCAAUGGACGCAAGUCUGAACCAGCCAUGCCGCGUGCAGGAAGACGGCUCUAUGAGUUGUAAACUGCUUUUGUACGAGGGUAAAUCCCGAUACGUGUAUCGGGUUGAAAGUAUCGUACGAAUAAGGAUCGGCUAACUCCGUGCCAGCAGCCGCGGUAAUACGGAGGAGUCAAGCGUUAUCCGGAUUUAUUGGGUUUAAAGGGUGCGUAGGCGGGUGAUCAAGUCAGCGGUAAAAUCGUGGAGCUCAACUCCAUCCAGCCGUUGAAACUGAUGAUCUUGAGUGGGCGAGAGGUAUGCGGAAUGCGUGGUGUAGCGGUGAAAUGCAUAGAUAUCACGCAGAACUCCGAUUGCGAAGGCAGCAUACCGGCGCCCGACUGACGCUGAGGCACGAAAGCGUGGGUAUCGAACAGGAUUAGAUACCCUGGUAGUC
This 459-nucleotide ribosomal RNA is filed under the name uncultured bacterium. RNAcentral's name for it is "partial 16S ribosomal RNA". It matches the Rfam family "Bacterial small subunit ribosomal RNA", at positions 338 to 795 of the family's 1533-position model. The record is from RNAcentral.